CGUUGCUGCCCUCUUUGGGCGUUUCCUCCCUAGACUUGGGCCACACCUCGCGUGUGGCCUUUUUUCUUCGGUGCG
Non-coding RNA from Methylobacterium tarhaniae, 75 nucleotides. NCBI's taxonomy places the organism in Bacteria, Pseudomonadati, Pseudomonadota, Alphaproteobacteria, Hyphomicrobiales, Methylobacteriaceae. The record is from Rfam.